RNAcentral lists this ribosomal RNA (727 nucleotides) under Streptomyces sp. RNAcentral describes it as "bacterial SSU rRNA". It matches the Rfam family "Bacterial small subunit ribosomal RNA", at positions 137 to 876 of the family's 1533-position model. The record is from RNAcentral. Lineage: Bacteria; Bacillati; Actinomycetota; Actinomycetes; Kitasatosporales; Streptomycetaceae.
UCUGGGACAAGCCCUGGAAACGGGGUCUAAUACCGGAUAACACUCUGUCCCUCAUGGGGCGGGGUUAAAAGCUCCGGCGGUGAAGGAUGAGCCCGCGGCCUAUCAGCUUGUUGGUGGGGUAAUGGCCUACCAAGGCGACGACGGGUAGCCGGCCUGAGAGGGCGACCGGCCACACUGGGACUGAGACACGGCCCAGACUCCUACGGGAGGCAGCAGUGGGGAAUAUUGCACAAUGGGCGAAAGCCUGAUGCAGCGACGCCGCGUGAGGGAUGACGGCCUUCGGGUUGUAAACCUCUUUCAGCAGGGAAGAAGCGAAAGUGACGGUACCUGCAGAAGAAGCGCCGGCUAACUACGUGCCAGCAGCCGCGGUAAUACGUAGGGCGCAAGCGUUGUCCGGAAUUAUUGGGCGUAAAGAGCUCGUAGGCGGCUUGUCACGUCGGAUGUGAAAGCUCGGGGCUUAACCCCGAGUCUGCAUUCGAUACGGGCUAGCUAGAGUGUGGUAGGGGAGAUCGGAAUUCCUGGUGUAGCGGUGAAAUGCGCAGAUAUCAGGAGGAACACCGGUGGCGAAGGCGGAUCUCUGGGCCAUUACUGACGCUGAGGAGCGAAAGCGUGGGGAGCGAACAGGAUUAGAUACCCUGGUAGUCCACGCCGUAAACGUUGGGAACUAGGUGUUGGCGACAUUCCACGUCGUCGGUGCCGCAGCUAACGCAUUAAGUUCCCCGCCUGG